CCGUCACGAACCACAAACUUCAAUUGCGUCAGCCUUUCGACACCACUGUUUCAUCAUCUUUCACCGGUUGAAAUCGGAAUCUAGCCUUUACACCGAAUAACUCUUCACUUCCAACCUUUUCCACCGUUUAAUCGGACCAUUUCACCGAUUAAACCAUCAUAUCUCACCGGAUCUUGAAUCUACACUAAACAAACUUUCAGAUCUAGGAUUUGUUUGAGCCUUUUCUUCUCCGACACCAAAACUUAGGGUUCCUCGUUCUGAUUGUUUCUUUUGCUGUUUCUUCUGGGAGGGUGGCAGGGCCGGCGACGAAGUUGAAGACGCGAUCUUAGGCGUGGAGCUGGGUUGCGAUUUGACUGAUACUGGUUUGAGGGAGGUGGGGCGAGGGGAGUAGAGGCGGAAAGGGGUUAUGCGGGUUUGGAACGGGAACAAAGGAGACUAGUCUUGUGUUCUUACGAGAAUGAAGGAGACGGUUGCCGUCUUUGAAAUGAAAAUUUAGGGUUUGUGGGUUAUGAUUCUGGCUAAGAAAAGUGAAUGAACUAUU
RNAcentral lists this long non-coding RNA (541 nucleotides) under Vigna radiata. Its description in RNAcentral is "long non-coding RNA (VRAD_LNC002735)". Lineage: Eukaryota; Viridiplantae; Streptophyta; Magnoliopsida; Fabales; Fabaceae. The record is from RNAcentral.